RNAcentral lists this transfer RNA (71 nucleotides) under Candidatus Woesebacteria bacterium RBG_16_42_24. RNAcentral describes it as "tRNA-Gln". It matches the Rfam family "tRNA". From Rfam's summary of the family: Transfer RNA (tRNA) molecules are approximately 80 nucleotides in length. Their secondary structure includes four short double-helical elements and three loops (D, anti-codon, and T loops). RNAcentral also lists the same sequence under 2 other names. The record is from RNAcentral. Lineage: Bacteria; Candidatus Woeseibacteriota.
UGGGAGGUCGUCUAACGGUAGGACAUACGCCUCUGGAGCGUAGAAUCCUGGUUCGAAUCCAAGCCUCCCAG